AAAGAUGAUCAGGUUGAUAGGUCUGAGGUGGAAGUGUGGCGACACAUGGAGCUGACAGAUACUAAUCGAUCGAGGACUUAACCACAUUU
Molecule: ribosomal RNA, 89 nt
Filed under: Bacillus subtilis
Lineage: Bacteria; Bacillati; Bacillota; Bacilli; Caryophanales; Bacillaceae
Also listed under: 1 other name
Description: partial 23S ribosomal RNA
Rfam family: Bacterial large subunit ribosomal RNA
Source: RNAcentral